UGGGGAAUUUUGGACAAUGGGCGAAAGCCUGAUCCAGCAAUGCCGCGUGUGUGAAGAAGGCCUUCGGGUUGUAAAGCACUUUUGUCCGGAAAGAAAUCCUUGGCUCUAAUACAGUCGGGGGAUGACGGUACCGGAAGAAUAAGCACCGGCUAACUACGUGCCAGCAGCCGCGGUAAUACGUAGGGUGCAAGCGUUAAUCGGAAUUACUGGGCGUAAAGCGUGCGCAGGCGGUUUGCUAAGACCGAUGUGAAAUCCCCGGGCUCAACCUGGGAACUGCAUUGGUGACUGGCAGGCUAGAGUAUGGCAGAGGGGGGUAGAAUUCCACGUGUAGCAGUGAAAUGCGUAGAGAUGUGGAGGAAUACCGAUGGCGAAGGCAGCCCCCUGGGCCAAUACUGACGCUCAUGCACGAAAGCGUGGGGAGCAAACAGGAUUAGAUACCCUGGUAGUCCACGCCCUAAACGAUGUCAACUAGUUGUUGGGGAUUCAUUUCCUUAGUAACGUAGCUAAUCGCGUGAAGUUGACCGCCUGGGGAGUACGGUCG
Molecule: ribosomal RNA, 541 nt
Filed under: uncultured bacterium
Lineage: Bacteria
Description: partial 16S ribosomal RNA
Rfam family: Bacterial small subunit ribosomal RNA
Source: RNAcentral